AGAACGAACGCUGGCGGCAUGCCUAAUACAUGCAAGUCGAACGAACUCUUCGGAGUUAGUGGCGCACGGGUGCGUAACGCGCGGGAAUCUGCCCCUUGGUUCGGAAUAACAGUUGGAAACGACUGCUAAUACCGGAUGAUGACGAAAGUCCAAAGAUUUAUCGCCAAGGGAUGAGCCCGCGUAGGAUUAGCUAGUUGGUGAGGUAAAGGCUCACCAAGGCAACGAUCCUUAGCUGGUCUGAGAGGAUGAUCAGCCACACUGGGACUGAGACACGGCCCAGACUCCGUACGGGAGCAGCGAGUAGGGAAUAUAGGACAAGUGGGCGAAAGCCUAGAUCCAGCAAUGCCGCGUGAGUGAUGAAGGCCUUAGGUUGUAAGCUACGUUUACCGAG
This 391-nucleotide ribosomal RNA is filed under the name uncultured soil bacterium. Its description in RNAcentral is "bacterial SSU rRNA". It matches the Rfam family "Bacterial small subunit ribosomal RNA", at positions 26 to 443 of the family's 1533-position model. The record is from RNAcentral.